Molecule: ribosomal RNA, 301 nt
Filed under: uncultured bacterium
Lineage: Bacteria
Description: partial 16S ribosomal RNA
Rfam family: Bacterial small subunit ribosomal RNA
Source: RNAcentral
CAGUAGCCGCGGUAGUACGUAGGGUGCAAGCGUUAAUCGGAAUUACUGGGCGUAAAGCGUGCGCAGGCGGUUAUAUAAGUCAGAUGUGAAAUCCCCGGGCUCAACCUGGGAACUGCAUUUGAGACUGUAUGGCUAGAGUGUGUCAGAAGGGGGUAGAAUUCCGCGUGUAGCAGUGAAAUGCGUAGAUAUGUGGAGGAAUACCGAUGGCGAAGGCAGCCCCCUGGGAUAACACUGACGCUCAUGCACGAAAGCGUGGGGAGCAAACAGGAUUAGAUACCCCUGUAGUCCCUGUCUCUUAUAC